RNAcentral lists this ribosomal RNA (964 nucleotides) under uncultured microeukaryote. RNAcentral describes it as "partial large subunit ribosomal RNA". It matches the Rfam family "Eukaryotic small subunit ribosomal RNA", at positions 110 to 1081 of the family's 1831-position model. The record is from RNAcentral.
CUAAAGUUUUUUUUGGAGGGUCCCUUGCUACUUGGAUAACCGUAGUAACUCUAGAGCUAAUACAUGCAUCAAUCCCUGACUUCCUGGAAGGGGUGUACUUAUUAGAUGGAAACCAGUGCGGGUUCGCCCGGAUCAUGGUGAUUCAUAAUAAUUUUCGGAUCGAUCAAUUGAUCGAUGCAUCACUCAAGUUUCUGCCCUAUCAGCUUUGGAUGGUAGGGUAUUGGCCUACCAUGGCAUUAACGGGUAACGGAGAAUUAGGGUUCGAUUCCGGAGAGGGCGCCUGAGAAACGGCGACCAGUUCCAAGGAAGGCAGCAGGCGCGUAAAUUACCCAAUCCUGACACAGGGAGGUAGUGACAAUAAAUAACAAUGUCGGGCCUUCGGGUUUGACAAUUGGAAUGAGAACAAUUUAAAUCCCUUAUCGAGGAUCAAUUGGAGGGCAAGUCUGGUGCCAGCAGCCGCGGUAAUUCCAGCUCCAAUAGCGUAUACUAAAGUUGUUGCAGUUAAAAAGCUCGUAGCUGAAUCUCUGGUUUCGGAGUGCGGUCUGCCCCGUGGGGUAAGUAUCAGCGCUCGGGAGCCAUCCUCGAGGAGAACAUGCCUGUGAUUGAGUUCAUGGGUAUGGGAGCCUCGUCUUUUACUGUGAGCAAACUAGAGUGUUCAAAGCAGGCUUACGCCGUUGAAUACAUUAGCAUGGAAUAAUAAAAUAGGACUCUGGUCUAUUUUGUUGGUUAGUACUCCAGGGUAAUGAUUAAUAGGGACAGUUGGGGGUAUUCGUAUUCAAUUGUCAGAGGUGAAAUUCUUGGAUUUAUGGAAGACGAACUACUGCGAAAGCAUUUUACCAAGGAUGUUUUCAUUAAUCAAGAACCGAAAGUUAGGGGGAUCGAAGAUGAUUAGAUACUAUCGUAGUUCUUAACCAUAACUAUGCCCGACUAGGGAUUGGGUGGGUUGUUUAUUUUGACCUCAUUC